UGCCUUACACAUGCAAGUCGAACGGCAGCACGGACUUCGGUCUGGUGGCGAGUGGCGAACGGGUGAGUAAUAUAUCGGAACAUACCCAGUAGUGGGGGAUAACUAUCCGAAAGGAUAGCUAAUACCGCAUACGAUCUGUGGAUGAAAGCAGGGGAUCUUCGGACCUUGUGCUAUUGGAAUGGCCGAUAUCUGAUUAGCUAGUUGGUAGGGUAAAAGCCUACCAAGGCGACGAUCAGUAGCUGGUCUGAGAGGACGACCAGCCACACUGGAACUGAGACACGGUCCAGACUCCUACGGGAGGCAGCAGUGGGGAAUUUUGGACAAUGGGGGCAACCCUGAUCCAGCAAUGCCGCGUGAGUGAAGAAGGCCCUCGGGUUGUAAAGCUCUUUUGUCAGGGAAGAAACGGAGUUCUCUAAUAUAGGAUUCUAAUGACGGUACCUGAAGAAUAAGCACCGGCUAACUACGUGCCAGCAGCCGCGGUAAUACGUAGGGUGCAAGCGUUAAUCGGAAUUACUGGGCGUAAAGCGUGCGCAGGCGGUUUUGUAAGUCUGAUGUGAAAUCCCCGGGCUCAACCUGGGAACUGCAUUGGAGACUGCAAGGCUAGAGUGUGUCAGAGGGGGGUAGAAUUCCACGUGUAGCAGUGAAAUGCGUAGAGAUGUGGAGGAGUACCGAUGGCGAAGGCAGCCCCCUGGGAUAACACUGACGCUCAUGCACGAAGCGUGGGGAGCAAAC
RNAcentral lists this ribosomal RNA (732 nucleotides) under uncultured beta proteobacterium. Its description in RNAcentral is "bacterial SSU rRNA". It matches the Rfam family "Bacterial small subunit ribosomal RNA", at positions 45 to 773 of the family's 1533-position model. The record is from RNAcentral. Lineage: Bacteria; Pseudomonadati; Pseudomonadota; Betaproteobacteria.